GGGGGGGGGGCGGAAGGGGUGGGGGAGGGGGAGGGGGGGAGGAUCCUGGAAUUCGUUAUCUCGUGGGGCUUAUCAGCUGCUCUCUAGAUAAAUGCACGGAGAUUAAAUAAUUUCCCAUCAACGCUUUCCCCCCCACUUUGGAAAAACAAGACCCCAAGCCAAGAGAAAAAUCAAACUUUUCCCACCCCCCCGCCCCCUCCCCUCUAAACUUUGCCAAAGCUUUUUUUUUUUUGUGUCGUUUUUUUGUUAGUUUUUUUUUUUCUUCUUUUUUUGCUGCGGGAUUUUCCCCCCCUCCCCAGCCUCCCGACAUUCCCAAACAUGCUUCGAUCCAUGCGCUCCUCGCUCCCUCUCACCCGCAGCUCAGAGUCCGGGGGGAUCCGCCUGGCGGGGGGGGCUCUCCUGGCACGGCCUGGCACGGCUCGGGGUGGCACGGCCGCCGCUGGAGCCGUCCCGGCCCUUCUUCCUUUCAUUCCUUCCUCCUUUCCUUCCUUCCUCCUUUCCUCCUUUCCUUCCUUCCUUUCUCCGGGAGCGCCGCCGGGAUGGCCCCGCUGGAGCCGCCGCCUCCGAGCCCGACGGGGACACCGGGGGGACCCGGGCCACCCCUGGCAGGGACACCAGGAGGGACCCGGGGCCACCCCUGGCAGGGACACCUGGGGGUGUCAGAGGACCCGGAGCCACCUCCGAGCCUGGCAGGGACAACUGUGACCAUGCCAGGGACAUCAGGGUGGUGUCAGGAUCUGGAGCCACCUCCGAGCCUGGCAGGGACAACUGUGACCCUGCCGGGGACACCUGGGGAGGGUCAGGACCCGGGGCCACUCCCUGGCAGGGACACCUGGGGGGGGUUCAGGAUCUUGUGCCAAAUCCGAACCUGGCAGGGACAUCGGUGACCCUGCCGGGGACACCUGGGGGGUGUCAGAGGACCCGGGGCCACCUCCGAGCCUGGCAGGGACAACUGUGACCCCACCAGGGACACCUGGGGGGGACCCUGGGCCACCUUCCACCAGGGACACCUGGGGGGUGUCAGAGGACCCAGAGCCACCUCUGACCCUGGCAGGGACAACUGUGACCAUGCCAGGGACACCUGGGGGGGUUCAGGACCCGGGGCCACCUCCCUGCAGAGACACCUGGGGGUGUCAGAGGACCCAGAGCCACCUCCAAGCCUGGCAGGGACACCUGUGACCAUGCCAGGGACACCUGAGGGGGUUCAGGACCCGGGGCCACCUUCCACCAGGGACACCUGGGGGGUGUCAGAGGACCCAGAGCCACCUCUGACCCUGGCAGGGACACCUGUGACCCCACCAGGGACACCUGGGACUCGUCAGGACCUUGGGCCACCUCCGAGCGUGGCCGGGCCACCCGGGAGGUGCCACCCGGCGGCUCGGGGGCUCCGGGCCGUGGGCACCGCCGAGGUGCCGCGGCCGUGGCGGGGCGCGG
RNAcentral lists this long non-coding RNA (1434 nucleotides) under Lonchura striata (white-rumped munia). RNAcentral describes it as "domestica (Bengalese finch) lncRNA (ENSLSDG00000000312.1)". Lineage: Eukaryota; Metazoa; Chordata; Aves; Passeriformes; Estrildidae. The record is from RNAcentral.